UUAAGCGACUAAGCGUACACGGUGGAUGCCCUGGCAGUCAGAGGCGAUGAAGGACGUGCUAAUCUGCGAUAAGCGUCGGUAAGGUGAUAUGAACCGUUAUAACCGGCGAUUUCCGAAUGGGGAAACCCAGUGUGUUUCGACACACUAUCAUUAACUGAAUCCAUAGGUUAAUGAGGCGAACCGGGGGAACUGAAACAUCUAAGUACCCCGAGGAAAAGAAAUCAACCGAGAUUCCCCCAGUAGCGGCGAGCGAACGGGGAGCAGCCCAGAGCCUGAAUCAGUGUGUGUGUUAGUGGAAGCGUCUGGAAAGGCGUGCGAUACAGGGUGACAGCCCCGUACACAAAAAUGCACAUGCUGUGAGCUCGAUGAGUAGGGCGGGACACGUGGUAUCCUGUCUGAAUAUGGGGGGACCAUCCUCCAAGGCUAAAUACUCCUGACUGACCGAUAGUGAACCAGUACCGUGAGGGAAAGGCGAAAAGAACCCCGGCGAGGGGAGUGAAAAAGAACCUGAAACCGUGUACGUACAAGCAGUGGGAGCACNNNNNNNNNNNNNNNNNNNNNNNNNNNNNNNNGUGUGACUGCGUACCUUUUGUAUAAUGGGUCAGCGACUUAUAUUCUGUAGCAAGGUUAACCGAAUAGGGGAGCCGAAGGGAAACCGAGUCUUAACUGGGCGUUAAGUUGCAGGGUAUAGACCCGAAACCCGGUGAUCUAGCCAUGGGCAGGUUGAAGGUUGGGUAACACUAACUGGAGGACCGAACCGACUAAUGUUGAAAAAUUAGCGGAUGACUUGUGGCUGGGGGUGAAAGGCCAAUCAAACCGGGAGAUAGCUGGUUCUCCCCGAAAGCUAUUUAGGUAGCGCCUCGUGAAUUCAUCUCCGGGGGUAGAGCACUGUUUCGGCAAGGGGGUCAUCCCGACUUACCAACCCGAUGCAAACUGCGAAUACCGGAGAAUGUUAUCACGGGAGACACACGGCGGGUGCUAACGUCCGUCGUGAAGAGGGAAACAACCCAGACCGCCAGCUAAGGUCCCAAAGUCAUGGUUAAGUGGGAAACGAUGUGGGAAGGCCCAGACAGCCAGGAUGUUGGCUUAGAAGCAGCCAUCAUUUAAAGAAAGCGUAAUAGCUCACUGGUCGAGUCGGCCUGCGCGGAAGAUGUAACGGGGCUAAACCAUGCACCGAAGCUGCGGCAGCGACGCUGAUGCGUUGUUGGGUAGGGGAGCGUUCUGUAAGCCUGUGAAGGUGUACUGUGAGGUAUGCUGGAGGUAUCAGAAGUGCGAAUGCUGACAUAAGUAACGAUAAAGCGGGUGAAAAGCCCGCUCGCCGGAAGACCAAGGGUUCCUGUCCAACGUUAAUCGGGGCAGGGUGAGUCGACCCCUAAGGCGAGGCCGAAAGGCGUAGUCGAUGGGAAACAGGUUAAUAUUCCUGUACUUGGUGUUACUGCGAAGGGGGGACGGAGAAGGCUAUGUUGGCCGGGCGACGGUUGUCCCGGUUUAAGCGUAUAGGCUGGUUUUCCAGGCAAAUCCGGAAAAUCAAGGCUGAGGCGUGAUGACGAGGCACUACGGUGCUGAAGCAACAAAUGCCCUGCUUCCAGGAAAAGCCUCUAAGCAUCAGGUAACAUCAAAUCGUACCCCAAACCGACACAGGUGGUCAGGUAGAGAAUACCAAGGCGCUUGAGAGAACUCGGGUGAAGGAACUAGGCAAAAUGGUGCCGUAACUUCGGGAGAAGGCACGCUGAUAUGUAGGUGAAGUCCCUCGCGGAUGGAGCUGAAAUCAGUCGAAGAUACCAGCUGGCUGCAACUGUUUAUUAAAAACACAGCACUGUGCAAACACGAAAGUGGACGUAUACGGUGUGACGCCUGCCCGGUGCCGGAAGGUUAAUUGAUGGGGUUAGCGCAAGCGAAGCUCUUGAUCGAAGCCCCGGUAAACGGCGGCCGUAACUAUAACGGUCCUAAGGUAGCGAAAUUCCUUGUCGGGUAAGUUCCGACCUGCACGAAUGGCGUAAUGAUGGCCAGGCUGUCUCCACCCGAGACUCAGUGAAAUUGAACUCGCUGUGAAGAUGCAGUGUACCCGCGGCAAGACGGAAAGACCCCGUGAACCUUUACUAUAGCUUGACACUGAACAUUGAGCCUUGAUGUGUAGGAUAGGUGGGAGGCUUUGAAGUGUGGACGCCAGUCUGCAUGGAGCCGACCUUGAAAUACCACCCUUUAAUGUUUGAUGUUCUAACGUNNNNNNNNNGACCCGUAAUCCGGGUUGCGGACAGUGUCUGGUGGGUAGUUUGACUGGGGCGGUCUCCUCCUAAAGAGUAACGGAGGAGCACGAAGGUUGGCUAAUCCUGGUCGGACAUCAGGAGGUUAGUGCAAUGGCAUAAGCCAGCUUGACUGCGAGCGUGACGGCGCGAGCAGGUGCGAAAGCAGGUCAUAGUGAUCCGGUGGUUCUGAAUGGAAGGGCCAUCGCUCAACGGAUAAAAGGUACUCCGGGGAUAACAGGCUGAUACCGCCCAAGAGUUCAUAUCGACGGCGGUGUUUGGCACCUCGAUGUCGGCUCAUCACAUCCUGGGGCUGAAGUAGGUCCCAAGGGUAUGGCUGUUCGCCAUUUAAAGUGGUACGCGAGCUGGGUUUAGAACGUCGUGAGACAGUUCGGUCCCUAUCUGCCGUGGGCGCUGGAGAACUGAGGGGGGCUGCUCCUAGUACGAGAGGACCGGAGUGGACGCAUCACUGGUGUUCGGGUUGUCAUGCCAAUGGCACUGCCCGGUAGCUAAAUGCGGAAGAGAUAAGUGCUGAAAGCAUCUAAGCACGAAACUUGCCCCGAGAUGAGUUCUCCCUGACUCCUUGAGAGUCCUGAAGGAACGUUGAAGACGACGACGUUGAUAGGCCGGGUGUGUAAGCGCAGCGAUGCGUUGAGCUAACCGGUACUAAUGAACCGUGAGGCUUAACCUU
RNAcentral lists this ribosomal RNA (2934 nucleotides) under Escherichia coli. Its description in RNAcentral is "bacterial LSU rRNA". It matches the Rfam family "Bacterial large subunit ribosomal RNA". The record is from RNAcentral. Lineage: Bacteria; Pseudomonadati; Pseudomonadota; Gammaproteobacteria; Enterobacterales; Enterobacteriaceae.